This is a long non-coding RNA of Ornithodoros turicata, 4155 nucleotides long. RefSeq lists it as uncharacterized. Lineage: Eukaryota; Metazoa; Arthropoda; Arachnida; Ixodida; Argasidae. The transcript is spliced from 3 exons. The record is from RefSeq and is a predicted model, not a curated record.
UACUGCAAUCUCUGUCUGCGCCUGACCAGAUAAGUGCAUGCACCUGGUCAACAAAUUCAGUUCCAUAUUGUACCAUGUUUAACAGCAGCUGUGUUGCAUGUGUCAGUCUUCUCCUACAUUUUAUUUGCAGUGUCCAUGAGGCUAUUGCACGUCCAUGGGAGGAUUCUGCUAAUGAUCUUUAUAGCAGUCCCACGCCAAUGGAGUGGUCAGAAGCAUCCUAUCCUAUCCUAGAAGUAGAAGCUGCCUAUACCUUUUACCAGUGUUUAUUCUCUAUUUCAUGUCAUUGCCCUUGUUUCGAAUCUGACAUGCAGUUAAUAUGGGACUUGGACGAAGCAUUGAGUGGGUCUGAUGUGGAUUCUCCAACAUACCCAGAUGAGUUGAACACGGAGAAUAGAGGUGCUGAGUCAGCUACCAUGCAGGCAACACUUUCUGUGCAGCUUACAGUGUGGGCUAUCCAAGUUGGAAUUCCAUUGCAACACCUGUCAAGCUUGUUAAAAAUUCUUCACAACUACCACCCUGAUCUGCCACUUGACGGACGAACCCUGCUGUCAACACCAAAAUCUGUACGCUUGGAGCAGAUGUGCGGUGGGGAGUUCGUCUACUUCGGAAUUUUGCGUGGAAUCCAAAAGCUAUUAGAAGCCAGGCUUGUCAGAUCAAACUUGCUUAGCCGCCAGGUAAACAUUGAUGGUCUGCCGUUAAAUCGAAGCAGGAACGUAAGCCUUUGGCCCAUACUUAUCGCUGUAAGGGAAUGUCUUCCUCUGAGGCCCUUCCCAGCCGCAGUCUAUUGUGGACUUGCAAAGCCUGAGUGUGUUGGCACAUUCUUUGCCAGAUUUGUUUUGGAAAUGAAGACCCUUACCAGUGAGGGUUUCACGUACCGUGGGAAGUCGUAUACGGUAGCUUUUCACUGACUUGUGUGCGACACACCUGCACGCGCUUUUGUGAAAUGCAUCAAGGGUCACACAGGCUACAGCGCCUGUGAAAGAUGUGCAGUUAAAGGGGAAUAUUAUCCAGAAGGCAAGAAGGUUAUUUACAGAGAUCAAACUGCUAUUAAACGAACCAGACACAGCUUUAAUCUUCAAACAAAUUCUGCACACCAUAAUGGAAAAUCGCCACUUUUCAACCUGGGAAUUGACUUGGUUUCUCAGGUACCACUAGAUAGCAUGCAUGUAGUGUACUUUGGUGUUGUUAAGAAAAUCGUUACUAGCUUUUGGCUUGCAACAAGUGUAACGAAAACAAAGUUAUCCCACAGCGCGAGGCGCAUGAUCUCUGAAAGGCUUCUAAACAUGAAAACACAUAUUCCUCGUGAAUUUAACAGAAAGCCGAGGGCACUAGUGGAGUGCGCAUGUGGAAGGCCACGGAAUGGAGGCAGUUUCUUUUGUAUGCAGGCCCUGUAGUACUUAAAAAAAUAGUUGAAGAAAACAUAUAUGAACAUUUUCUGACCUUGAACAUUGCAGUUUCAUUGCUGAAUAGGCCAUAUGCAACCACCGAAAUGCUAGACCUUGCUGAAUCAUUGUUAUAUCGCUUUGUUUCCCAUGGUACAGUCUAUGGCAAAGGAAUCUAUGUUCUCAACUUCCACUCUCUAAUACAUAUAACGGAUGAUGUACGCUAAUUUGGCAUGCUUGAUAGUUUCUCCUGCUUCCCGUUUGAAAAUUGCUUACAAAAGCUGAAGCAGCUACUUCGGUCCCCUCACAAGCCGCUGUCCCAGCUGUUGUUCCCAACAGAUUGUUCGAAGCACAUGCACUCUUAAUGAACAAGCCUAACUUGCCACCUUUCAGUUUAAAGUACAGACAUCACAGUGGACCUGUACAAAGUGGGGAAUCUGAUGCGGAACAAUACAAGAGAAUUCAAUUUCAGGGAUUCUGUCUGAUUGCUGGUUCCAACUCCGAUUCUACAGUACAGCUCACUAAUGGAAGUAUUGCGGUUGUCAAAAACAUAGUGAGGUCAAGAGGAAAAGUUUCAGUCAUAGUUCAAUCAUUCCGUCGUCUCGAAAAUUUUUACACUGUUCCGGUGCCGUCAUCGAGGAUAGGUGUAUACCUUGUUAGUGAGUUGCAGUCUAGCUAUUUGUGCUGGUGUAUUGAAGAAUUGAACUGUAAAAUGGUUCGCUUUCCUGUCGGAAGUAAUUUCUUAGCAAUCCCUCUUUUGCACAAUAAUGAUGGUACUUCUUAUAACAGUACGGAUUUUUAACUAAACAUAUUUUACUAAAAGUUCUAAUUAGCAUCGAAAAGAGCAUAUACUGCCAGAUCGGCUACACCUGCAUGAAAGUGUAGUGUGUCUCGCAGCAGGGUUAGGUUUAUAUCGCAGUACUUCAAGUAUAAGAACUCUGGAGUCCAACAUGUUUUGUCGUAUUUGUCGUAUGAGAGAGUCUUUUGAAGUUAAUUAAUAUGUAGAGCUAUAGAGACUCAGUGAUCAGUGAUCAAACGUACUGCGAGCGUGAGUGUGUUGGCAUUGGAUCGAAUUUGUUCGCAACAUACUGUACUUACUGGAUUACGAGUUCAUUGUUAAAAUCGAUGUUUUGAAGGUGGAACAUACAUGAAAAACAAGCACCACAAACUGUCAUGUACCGAAUAUUUCACUGUUGUUGUAUCAUUAGAGGUGGAAGUUGCUGAGAAAAGUACAGGUAUCCAGGAUAAGAGGAAAAUGUACAACAUUAUCUACAAUAGGAAGAUGUAUGAUGUACAUGUGUGUACAUGGCAAUAGGUGCACAAUGCAAUAUGGCACAUGUGCAAUAGGGAGAUGUAUAAUAUUAGAGAAAUGUGUCUUUCACUUCAAGUUAAGCUUUGCACGCCUUCAAAGAUAGAGUCCAUCUGUGUGCUCAGGCUUUCCCAAAGGGUCGCUUGCAAUAUUUAUGAAGGCCGGGUUUCUGCUUUCAGUAAGAUUUUAAACAUACUUAUAUACUCUUGUCUCGUAUGUAACAUUGUAGGUUGUGUAAUUAGCAACUAAUACCUUGCAAGCAAACGCAUGCAAGUUGCUAGGGACACUGUUGGAAAAGGUUAGCGCUCUCGAGAGGGAGGUCAAGUCCGUACGAGCGGAAAAUGGUGCCCUGUUUGUGCAUCUUUCACACAACACGGAACUUCUUCGAAGGUACAUGUCGCAGUCAGCCACCGUCGAAGACGCUGUUAAGACGCCGUGUGACAGAUACGCGGGAGUACUAAUUCAUGGUGCUGCUGCUUCGUCGACAUCCACCACAGCUUCUCCGACAAGCUUGACUCGUUUUGCACCGAUGGUACCGCCGGCGGAAGAAAUGGUUGGUCAGCGUGGUAGUCAACGUCGCAUCGCACGGCAGCUUCCCAACGCGGUGGCUACUAAUGAUCGGAACAAGUUUCCAGAUCAGUCAGGGAGUAUAGAUACUUCGAAGGGGCCAGUGGACGAUGAAGGGUUUCGUAUGAUCCUACCGAGACGGCGCGUCCAGCCAUCGAUCGGCUCAUCCAAAGACAGUAAGUUGCGAGCUGUGGCAAAACCUCCGCGGGAGAAAGCCAUCUUUGUAUCCAGGCUGCAUCCCUCGACCUCUAGUGAAGACCUGUCUGAGGUCGUAUCAAACGCAUUGAACAACGAGCAGUUUACAUGUACCAAGCUGCCCGCGAGGCAUGCGUCAUACGCUUCAUUCCACAUAUCGGUACAGGAGGCUGAUUUUGAUAGGCUUCUUUCCACCAUUGUAUGGCCUGAAUGCUGCCUUUUUAGGCCUUUCCUUGGGCGGCUUCGCUUUGGUGCCAAAAUUAAUGUCGACAAUCUGACGUCUGAUACGACACGUGUUGACGGCGCCCCUUUAGGUUGCUAAAUAUCAAUGCGAGGAGUGUUGUCAACAAGGUGGCAGAGCUGGAGUCAAUAUCACUUGCGUUCGAUCCUGACAUACAGUAGUGACUGAAACUUGGUUGAACGAAAGCAUUCAAGAUAACGACAUCUUUCCUGAUGGAUUCAGCGUUUUCCGCCGUGACCGUGGUUCACGUGGAGGCGGUGUAGCCAUACUUGUUAAGGAGUGCUUUUCUGCAUCAGUUGUUGAACAUGACCACGGGCGCGAGAUGGUUUGGGUUGCUGUAAAGAGUCACACUUGUUCGAUUUUGGUGGGAGGAUUCUACAGGUGCCCUCGAGCAAGUACAGAUGUACUUCAUGAAUUGUCCCACUUUCUCGACACGAAAUCUAAGGAAUUUCCACCUGUGA